Molecule: ribosomal RNA, 467 nt
Filed under: uncultured bacterium
Lineage: Bacteria
Description: partial 16S ribosomal RNA
Rfam family: Bacterial small subunit ribosomal RNA
Source: RNAcentral
GACGAACGCUGGCGGCGUGCUUAACACAUGCAAGUCGAACGGAAAGGCUCCAGCUUGCUGGAGUACUCGAGUGGCGAACGGGUGAGUAACACGUGGGUAAUCUGCCCUGCACUCUGGGAUAAGCCUGGGAAACUGGGUCUAAUACUGGAUAUGACCUUUCUCCUUAUGGGGUUUGGUGGAAAGUUUUUCGGUGUAGGAUGAGCCCGCGGCCUAUCAGCUUGUUGGUGGGGUGAUGGCCUACCAAGGCGACGACGGGUAGCCGGCCUGAGAGGGUGAUCGGCCACAUUGGGACUGAGAUACGGCCCAGACUCCUACGGGAGGCAGCAGUGGGGAAUAUUGCACAAUGGGCGGAAGCCUGAUGCAGCGACGCCGCGUGAGGGAUGACGGCCUUCGGGUUGUAAACCUCUUUCAGCAGGGACGAAGCGUAAGAGACGGUACCUGCAGAAGAAGCACCGGCUAACUACGUG